RNAcentral lists this long non-coding RNA (577 nucleotides) under Pan troglodytes (chimpanzee). RNAcentral describes it as "long non-coding RNA NONPTRT014856". The record is from RNAcentral. Lineage: Eukaryota; Metazoa; Chordata; Mammalia; Primates; Hominidae.
GGGAAGGAGACGCGGAGGGAAACUGAGCGGGGGCGCAGUCCGGGGUGAUCGCACGGGUCCUUCCAGAAGCCUCCCCUCCUCUGAAGCCCGCAGUCCACAGCCCCCCACGGUUGGCCUCCGCCCCGCUUAGGCUCCAUCCCCGAACUCACCGGCCAGCCCGGUCCUGCACCAGCUGGACAGCAGGAGCAGAAGCGGGAGGCGUAGAAGGAACGCGGGGCUGGCGGCCGCUGCCAUUGGGGAGUUGGAUCGCAGGGGACAGCAGAAGCGAAGCCCAGCCCGUGGAUCACCUGGCGGCUCGCAGGCUGUCUGAAUGCAGCCCUAACCUACACCUCUUCUCACCCUAGGAGCUGUACCCAAAGCUCUGAAUGAGACUGUCCCUGCCCCGCCCCAUCCACUCCUGGUCCAGCUCAGCAGUGACCUUGGAACUCCAGGAGCAGCUCAGUACCCCUGUCUCCGAGUCAGCUCUGCUCCAGGCAGGGCCAGAAUCUGGAGUGUGCAGGAGGCCGGAUGGCAGGGGCAUUGCCCCAGGACUGAGCCGUAUUCUGAGGGUUCCCAGAGACCUGACCUCCUACUUGUA